Non-coding RNA from Acanthosepion pharaonis, 95 nucleotides. Lineage: Eukaryota; Metazoa; Mollusca; Cephalopoda; Sepiida; Sepiidae. The record is from the annotation of a GenBank genome assembly.
AAAAUACUGAUUCUUGUCCGAUCACUGAAGUUAAGCAACAUUGAAUGUGAUCAGUACAUAGAUGGGUGACCACUUGGGAAUACCAGGUACUGUAA